AGAGUUUGAUCCUGGCUCAGAACGAACGCUGGCGGCAGGCCUAACACAUGCAAGUCGAGCGAGAAGCCACCUUCGGGUGGGGGACAGCGGCAGACGGGUGAGUAACGCGUGGGAACGUACCCUUUGGUUCGGAACAACUCCGGGAAACUGGAGCUAAUGCCGGAUAAGCCCUUCGGGGGAAAGAUUUAUCGCCGAUGGAUCGGCCCGCGUCUGAUUAGCUUGUUGGUGGGGUAAUGGCCCACCAAGGCGACGAUCAGUAGCUGGUCUGAGAGGAUGAUCAGCCACACUGGGACUGAGACACGGCCCAGACUCCUACGGGAGGCAGCAGUGGGGAAUAUUGGACAAUGGGCGCAAGCCUGAUCCAGCCAUGCCGCGUGAGUGAUGAAGGCCCUAGGGUUGUAAAGCUCUUUCGGCGGGGACGAUAAUGACGGUACCCGCAGAAGAAGCCCCGGCUAACUUCGUGCCAGCAGCCGCGGUAAUACGAAGGGGGCUAGCGUUGUUCGGAAUUACUGGGCGUAAAGCGCACGUAGGCGGAUCGUUUAGUCGGGGGUGAAAUCCCGGGGCUUAACCCCGGAACUGCCUCCGAUACUGGCGAUCUUGAGUCCGAGAGAGGUGAGUGGAACUCCGAGUGUAGAGGUGAAAUUCGUAGAUAUUCGGAAGAACACCAGUGGCGAAGGCGGCUCACUGGCUCGGUACUGA
RNAcentral lists this ribosomal RNA (699 nucleotides) under uncultured bacterium. RNAcentral describes it as "bacterial SSU rRNA". It matches the Rfam family "Bacterial small subunit ribosomal RNA", at positions 8 to 743 of the family's 1533-position model. The record is from RNAcentral.